UUAAGUAGACCUUUUAAAAAUUCUUCACAUAUAUCACUACAGCAGAAUUAGGUUAUAGGAACACAUGUUUGAGACACUUUUGUAUAAGUGUCCCAUUUAUGUCAAAACUUAAAAAAAAAAUCUACUAAUGACUAAAUAUAAACCUCAAUUCAAUCAAAAAUAAAAGGUUACUCUACUCAACCCAUCCCAUCCAACCCAUUCGGCCCGAUUAUAAACAAAAAAGAAAAAAAAAAAGAAAAAUCGAUUACCAUAUCUCCUUCUCCCUUUACUCAAUUUACUGAAAUCCUAGACGAAGAGCCCUUCCCUCUCGUCUUCCUCCGCCACUGCAGCCAACGAGAUAGAGUUCUGGUAGUUGCUAAAUACUUAAAUAAGCGUUGGUAAAUUAGCAGCACUUUUUUAGGUUAUAGCGACACUCUUUAACUGUCACUAUAUACCUAGCGACCCCACAUAUAGCAACACUUUUUAAAAGUGUCGGUAAUUUAGCCAGCAGCACUUUUUUUGACCAGUACCGAUAUUUAAAAGUGUCGCUAUAGACCGUUUUUGUUGUAGUGUAUUUUUUGGCAUAAAAAAUUUUAAAUGUUUCUUUUUUUA
RNAcentral lists this long non-coding RNA (591 nucleotides) under Ananas comosus (pineapple). Its description in RNAcentral is "long non-coding RNA (ACOM_LNC040173)". The record is from RNAcentral. Lineage: Eukaryota; Viridiplantae; Streptophyta; Magnoliopsida; Poales; Bromeliaceae.